UGUGAAGAUUCUGAGGCCAUAGAAUUUGGUC
This 31-nucleotide non-coding RNA is filed under the name Homo sapiens (human). The record is from RNAcentral. Lineage: Eukaryota; Metazoa; Chordata; Mammalia; Primates; Hominidae.